RNAcentral lists this ribosomal RNA (253 nucleotides) under uncultured bacterium. RNAcentral describes it as "partial 16S ribosomal RNA". It matches the Rfam family "Bacterial small subunit ribosomal RNA", at positions 524 to 776 of the family's 1533-position model. The record is from RNAcentral.
UACAGAGGUCUCAAGCGUUGUUCGGAUUCAUUGGGCGGAAAGGGCGCGUAGGCGGCGGGGUAAGUCGGGUGUGAAAUCUCAGGGCUCAACCCUGAAACUGCACUCGAUACUGCUCUGCUUGAGGACUGGAGAGGAGACUGGAAUUCACGGUGUAGCAGUGAAAUGCGUAGAUAUCGUGAGGAAGACCAGUGGCGAAGGCGGGUCUCUGGACAGUUCCUGACGCUGAGGCGCGAAGGCCAGGGGAGCAAACGGG